CACGUAGGGUGCGAGCGUUGUCCGGAAUUAUUGGGCGUAAAGAGCUCGUAGGCGGUGUGUCGCGUCGGCCGUGAAAACCUGUAGCUUAACUGUGGGCUUGCGGUCGAUACGGGCAUCACUGGAGUUCGGCAGGGGAGACUGGAAUUCCUGGCGUAGCGGUGAAAUGCGCAGAUAUCAGGAGGAACACCGGUGGCGAAGGCGGGUCUCUGGGCCGAUACUGACGCUGAGGAGCGAAAGCGUGGGGAGCGAACAGG
This 254-nucleotide ribosomal RNA is filed under the name uncultured bacterium. RNAcentral describes it as "partial 16S ribosomal RNA". It matches the Rfam family "Bacterial small subunit ribosomal RNA", at positions 524 to 776 of the family's 1533-position model. The record is from RNAcentral.